UGCCCCCUGGUUUUCUGGGACCAAUCAGCUCCCUGGGUGCCGCCCCUCCCAGAACUCUCCAGACUCUUCUGGGAUUCGCUGGAGGAAACUGGAGUCCUAAGGGAAGGGGGGGAGAGGCGCCGGGAAGAGUCGUUGUUGACUCCGGCCACCCAGUCUCCGUUUCCCUGGCGAGCCGCCUGCCAAGUAGUUGGAUGUCGACCGGAAGGAUGAGCACUAGGCUUGUAAUAAGUAGGGCGGUGAGAGGUUCGUGGGGCUCAAAUAAGUUUGAUUGUUUAAAGUAGGAUUAGGGGGUACACGAUUCCGGGGAGACCCAAAUUACAGAACGAUCCGGAGUUUCUCUAAGAGGGUGGGGUAUCUGUGGCCCAAAGAGACGCUGAUUGGAGCCUGACGCUGAUGGAAGCAGCCGCGUUUGGGCCGGUUCGCGGAGGGGCCGGGCUGCCUGAGAAUUGCCUUGGCCAUCCCGGCGUUUUUCCCAUCUUAUUUUUAAAAUAGGAAGGACAAGGAAAGAGAUAAUGCAGUAUAGUUUUGGCGUCAUCUUUAGCCCUAUAUGGAUGGAAUAUCUGGGGAUGGGAAAAUUUGAAUUUUCAAAAGAAAAGUAAUCAGGAUUUCCUCACAAACCAGAUUACAUCCAGAAGCUUUGUUGGAGGCUGUUGCAUCAUGCAGGGGAGCUAAGUGAGACGAUGGUGGAUCCCACCAGAGUCAAGGAGCAGUAGAGUUGUGAGAUGCGGCCAAAUUUUGGUGUUAAGCUGACCAGUCCUAGACCCUCCCCAAGAUGCGAGUGCAGCUUUUUGCCAAGAUGGAUUCCGCUGCAGAGGCCUGUGGGGG
This is a long non-coding RNA of Balaenoptera acutorostrata (minke whale), 825 nucleotides long. RefSeq lists it as uncharacterized. NCBI's taxonomy places the organism in Eukaryota, Metazoa, Chordata, Mammalia, Artiodactyla, Balaenopteridae. The transcript is spliced from 3 exons. The record is from RefSeq and is a predicted model, not a curated record.